GUUUUUUAAACGUUGAUGAAGAGGUUCCUCUACUUGACAUAGGAAGGGCCUCCAUAAUUUGGCAUUGCCUGUUUUUCUGUUCUAUUUCAAUUUUGAGCUUACAUAUCUACCUGAUCUAAGUCAUCUUCAAAUCGGUUCUCCUGAAUUCCUGCAUCUCGAUUGUGGGAAAUGUUUUUCUUAUUGUUCUUCUUACCUGCGAGCAAUUUCAACGUUUUCAAGAUCAGUAGGCCUCAACAUGUAAAUACACAUGCGAUAGUUUAGGAAAUAAAAGGGUUGAGUUUCAUAAUAUUAUUUGAACCAACAUCCAUAAUCACGUUCAGUGGGGCAAAGUACAGUGUCUAAACUAAGUGGCGUUCUAGAGAAUUAGCUAUUAUCCAUUCACGGAAUGUUGGUUAACUUGCUCUUGGUAUAAAUGCAGGGAGGUAGUAGACAAGUUAGAUUUCAACCUCGAUUUGGGAACUUAUUGGCAAGUUCUACAGGAAAUGUUAUAAAUAUAUUUGAUGUGGAGACUAACAGCAUCCAACAAAAGUUCGAAGUAAGAUUGUCUAUUCCCGGUCAAGCUUGUUUUAAAUUUCUACUAUGCUGCAAUACUGUAUCAUAUCAAAGUGGUCUCCUUUUCUUGGAAAUAUAGGGUCAUGUCAGAGAUGUCCGUUCAAUCUGUUGGGAUAUGAGUGGGAAUUUUCUGGCAUCCGUGAGCGAGGAUAGUGCACGGAUAUGGUUUGUUAGCGGAGGAAAGUGUUUACAUGAACUUUGCUCCAGUGGCAAUAAGUUCCAGUCAUGCACUUUCCACCCUGACCGCGCUCAACUCUUGGUGAUUGGUUCUCAUGAGGUAUGCUUAACAGAAUUUCUGCAGAAGCUUUGAGCUCGUAGAUUAAGUUCUUUGUAGACUUGGCUGGAUUAAUGUCUCUAUAUAGUUGCAUAAAAUGCAGAAGCUUUGAGCUCGUAGAUUAAGUUCUUUGUAGACUUGGCUUGAUUAAUGUCUCUAUAUAGUUGCAUAACAACAAAUGUAACCUAGGAUCAUUCACAUAAAUCACAUGUAACCAUCUCAAACCGUGUUUCAGAUAACUUUUUAGAUGAUCCUAGAUUCUUUUGAUAUUUCAUGAGGGGAAGUAACAUGUCGAGUGUUGUUGCAGUUACUGGAGCUGUGGAAUCCAAUGUACCAGAGCCACAGAACUUGGCCACACCGAGCACAUGAUGAUAUAAUUUCGUCAUUUGCAGAUUCACCUCCGACAGGAACCAUAGCCUCAGUGAGUCAUGACCAGUAUAUCAAGAUAUGGCAGUGAUACUUUGUUGCAUACCAGUUUCUGCGGCUAUACCCCAUGCUCUCAGCUUCCAUUAUUAAUUUACCGAUGCUUCUUGGUUUAAGACAAAUACUUGGCACAAAGCAAGAAGGCAGUAUUCUUGAUUUUGUUGAGGGAUACACACCAUUUCCCUGGGAUGAGUUAUUUGAAUGACUGAAUCACUACAGAAAGAGUCACAAACUUUGAUUCAUAGUUUCAGACUGUCUUAAAUCUUGACAUUGUACUCUUCUGCCCUAUUUUAUUGUUUGGAAAUUGAAUUAAAAAUGUUAAUUAGAAUUGUCUAUGAAAUACCUAAUAUAAAAAUUUAGUCUAUGGAUAAAGUACAAUAUCACAUCAAAGUUUAAAAUUGAAUAAUUAAUGUACUUAUUAAAUUUUUAAUUGGAAAGUUUGUAAAAACAUUAUUAUUAGUUAAAAUGAUAUUUUAUUUGACAUACAUUUGAAUAUAAAGUACAUUUUAGAGAGGAGUAUUUAUUAGGUUUUAUUUGGGAUUGUUUUAAAAAAUUACUACUUAUAAUUAUACGAUUAACAACUUUUGAUGUAACAGAGAUAGGAUCAAACAAUCAAUUUAAUAACCUGAUUGGGCCGAUCCAAUUUUCUGGGUAUUCUCAGUACAAAUCCCAAAAUCUUCCUCAUUGUUCUCUUACUGCUUUUGGAGGUUAAUAAUCCCAAUCAAAACCCCAGCACUCACAAAUCGCUUAAAAAAAAUGGAGUUGAAUGAAUCGAGUAGAAGAGAAGAAGUAUCAUCGGCAAAAACAGUACAGCUUGGAGCUUUGGAUCCUGGAAUCAAUGUCCGUAUAGUUUUCCCCCUUCUCCGCAAAUAUGAUUUUUUAAAACUUUAAACUCCUCUGUUGUAGUUGAUUUUUCGUUUUUGGGUUCAGGGUCCUACAAGGAAUAC
This 2196-nucleotide long non-coding RNA is filed under the name Nicotiana benthamiana. Its description in RNAcentral is "long non-coding RNA (NBEN_LNC005655)". Lineage: Eukaryota; Viridiplantae; Streptophyta; Magnoliopsida; Solanales; Solanaceae. The record is from RNAcentral.